Molecule: ribosomal RNA, 254 nt
Filed under: uncultured bacterium
Lineage: Bacteria
Description: partial 16S ribosomal RNA
Rfam family: Bacterial small subunit ribosomal RNA
Source: RNAcentral
GCCAAGUCGUGAGGCGGAGCUAAUCCCUUAAAGCCAUUCUCAGUUCGGAUUGUAGGCUGAAACUCGCCUGCAUGAAGCUGGAGUUACUAGUAAUCGCAGAUCAGAAUGCUGCGGUGAAUGCGUUCCCGGGUCUUGUACACACCGCCCGUCACACCACGGAAGUUGGGGGCGCCCGAAGCCACUUAGCUAACCCUUUUGGGAAGCGAGUGUCGAAGGUGAAAUCAAUAACUGGGGUGAAGUCGUAACAAGGUAAC